This is a long non-coding RNA of Nanorana parkeri, 340 nucleotides long. RefSeq lists it as uncharacterized. The record is from RefSeq and is a predicted model, not a curated record. The transcript has 2 exons. Lineage: Eukaryota; Metazoa; Chordata; Amphibia; Anura; Dicroglossidae.
UCUCAAUUUGUCCAUUUGCCUCCCAGAUGACAAAUAAAGUCCAAGGGGAUAUCUACCUAAACUUGAAGUUAUAACAACCAAAAAGGGACAGUCCAUCAUGCCGUGCAGCCUAACUAGUGAUGAUUUAUAGUCGCACGCCAGUCCUUUUUACAUUAAAUUUUUUUUUUUUUUAAUUAAGAGUUUUCUGUUAUUCAGGUAGCCCCCUUUUGCCAUACGUGGGGUCAGAUCUGGUUCUGAUUGUGGUAAAAACAUUUGUGGAAUUAAACUGAUCCAUUAAGGCUGAUUGCUCUUAUUACCUGUGUGUACAUGACUGUCCAAUAAAGAGACCACUCUGAAUGUU